UACAGAGGGUGCAAGCGUUGUUCGGAAUUAUUGGGCGUAAAGCGCGUGUAGGCGGCUUUGCAAGUCGGGUGUGAAAGCCCUCAGCUCAACUGAGGAAGUGCGCCCGAAACUGCAGAGCUUGAGUACCGGAGAGGGUGGCGGAAUUCCCCAAGUAGAGGUGAAAUUCGUAGAUAUGGGGAGGAACACCGGUGGCGAAGGUGGCCACCUGGACGGUCACUGACGCUGAGACGCGAAAGCGUGGGGAGCAAACAGG
Molecule: ribosomal RNA, 253 nt
Filed under: uncultured bacterium
Lineage: Bacteria
Description: partial 16S ribosomal RNA
Rfam family: Bacterial small subunit ribosomal RNA
Source: RNAcentral